GACGAACGCUGGCGGCGUGCUUAACACAUGCAAGUCGAACGCUGAAGCUCAGCUUUUGUUGGGUGGAUGAGUGGCGAACGGGUGAGUAACACGUGAGUAACCUGCCCCUUACUUUCCUGGAUAACUGCUCGAAAGGGUAGCUAAUACGGGAUAUUCUGACCAGUCUGCAUGGGUUGGUUUGGAAAGGUUGUUUUUCUGGUAAGGGAUGGGCUCGCGGCCUAUCAGCUUGUUGGUGGGGUGAUGGCCUACCAAGGCUUUGACGGGUAGCCGGCCUGAGAGGGUGGACGGUCACACUGGGACUGAGAUACGGCCCAGACUCCUACGGGAGGCAGCAGUGGGGAAUAUUGCACAAUGGGCGCAAGCCUGAUGCAGCGACGCCGCGUGAGGGAUGAAGGCCUUCGGGUUGUAAACCUCUUUCGUCAGGGAACAAGGCACUGCUUUGGUGGUGUUGAGGGUACCUGGAUAAGAAGCGCCGGCUAACUACGUGCCAGCAGCCGCGGUAAUACGUAGGGCGCAAGCGUUGUCCGGAAUUAUUGGGCGUAAAGAGCUCGUAGGCGGCUGGUCGCGUCUGUCGUGAAAACUUCCGGCUCAACCGGGGGGCUUGCGGUGGGUACGGGCCGGCUAGAGUGCGGUAGGGGUAACUGGAACUCCUGGUGUAGCGGUGGAAUGCGCAUAUAUCACGAAGAACACCGAUGGCGAAUGCAGGUUACUGGGCCGUUACUGACGCUGAGGAGCGAAAGCGUGGGGAGCGAACAGG
Molecule: ribosomal RNA, 757 nt
Filed under: uncultured Actinomyces sp.
Lineage: Bacteria; Bacillati; Actinomycetota; Actinomycetes; Actinomycetales; Actinomycetaceae
Description: bacterial SSU rRNA
Rfam family: Bacterial small subunit ribosomal RNA
Source: RNAcentral